This 255-nucleotide ribosomal RNA is filed under the name uncultured bacterium. Its description in RNAcentral is "partial small subunit ribosomal RNA". It matches the Rfam family "Bacterial small subunit ribosomal RNA", at positions 26 to 286 of the family's 1533-position model. The record is from RNAcentral.
AGGACGAACGCUGGCGGCGUGCUUAACACAUGCAAGUCGAGCGGAAAGGCCCUUCGGGGUACUCGAGCGGCGAACGGGUGAGUAACACGUGAGCAACCUGCCCUUAGCUCUGGGAUAGCUCCGGGAAACCGGAAUUAAUACCGGAUACGACCUAGGCCGACAUCGGCCAUGGUGGAAAGUUUUUCGGCUAGGGAUGGACUCGCGGCUUAUCAGCUAGUUGGUGGGGUAAAGGCCUACCAAGGCGACGACGGGUAG